Long non-coding RNA from Nerophis lumbriciformis (worm pipefish), 635 nucleotides. RefSeq lists it as uncharacterized. The record is from RefSeq and is a predicted model, not a curated record. Lineage: Eukaryota; Metazoa; Chordata; Actinopteri; Syngnathiformes; Syngnathidae.
CCAUUACUCUUUAACCUGUCGACCUGCGCUGAUUAAACCCGUCAUUCUGCCUCCAAAAUGCCAAAAAACUGUGUUGUUUUUGGUUGUGCAAACCACAACUGGAAACAGGGAAAACAAAGGUCGUAUUUUGUUCUGCCAAAGCGUGCUAAAAGCCCACAGAGACGAGACAAAUGGCUCGCAGCUUUACACCGGGAAAACGAGGACGGUUCUCACUGGAGUCCCCCAAAAUCCCGGGUCGUGUGUUCGGAUCACUUCGUUUCUGGACGACCUGUAAAGAAUCCCAUGCACCCUGAUUAUGCACCAUUUAUCUUACCUCACCUGCCACAGAGUGGAAAGAAGGCAUCCCAUAGGAUGGACAGUUACGAGCAACAUCAACUGACAACUUCAAAGCGUGAAUCGGCAGCAGAGAACUCAAAAAGUACAAAGAAACACUGUGGGAAACGACUACCUUUCAGUGAUCUAACGGAAAGGACAAAUGAGUGUGAAAACAUUGAGCCUGCUGCAAAAACGCCUGUAAUUUUAAAUAAAUAAUUCAGUUAAAAAAAGGAACAGUAAUUCAGCAAAUAAUAAAUCAUAAUACUGAACUGAAUUUGAAUGAGCUCUCUACAGAUAUAAUAAAUAUACAGAUACUGGUA